UAGGGUACCUUUUGAUCCUCCUUAGUUUAAACAAAUGAACUAGUUUUCCAAAAAAAUUGUGUCUUUUUAAAAUUUUAGUUCAUUUGUUUGAACUAAGGAGGGUCAAAGGGUACCCUG
Non-coding RNA from Brachypodium distachyon (stiff brome), 117 nucleotides. The record is from Rfam. NCBI's taxonomy places the organism in Eukaryota, Viridiplantae, Streptophyta, Magnoliopsida, Poales, Poaceae.